This 479-nucleotide ribosomal RNA is filed under the name uncultured bacterium. RNAcentral's name for it is "partial 16S ribosomal RNA". It matches the Rfam family "Bacterial small subunit ribosomal RNA", at positions 28 to 507 of the family's 1533-position model. The record is from RNAcentral.
GAUGAACGCUGGCGGCGUGCUUAACACAUGCAAGUCGAACGAAGCACCUUGAUUUGAUUCUUCGGAUGAAGAGCUUGGUGACUGAGUGGCGGACGGGUGAGUAACGCGUGGUUAACCUGCCUCAUACAGGGGGAUAACAGAUAGAAAUGACUGCUAAUACCUCAUAAGACCACCGCACCGCAUUGUGCCGGGGUAAAAACUCCGGUGGGAUGAGAUGGACACGCGUCUGAUUAGGUAGUUGGCGGGGUAACGGCCUACCAAGGCGACGAUCAGUAGCCGAGCUGAGAGAGUGACCGGAGACAUUGGGACUGAGACACGGCCCAAACUCCUACGGGAGGCAGCAGAGGGGAAUAUUGCACAAUGGGGGAAACCCUGAUGCAGCGACGCCGCGUGAGCGAUGAAGUAUUUCGGUAAGAACAGCACUAUCAGCAGGGGAGGAAAUGACGGUACCUGACUAAGAAGCACCGGCUAAAUACGUG